This 269-nucleotide ribosomal RNA is filed under the name uncultured prokaryote. RNAcentral's name for it is "partial 16S ribosomal RNA". It matches the Rfam family "Bacterial small subunit ribosomal RNA", at positions 524 to 792 of the family's 1533-position model. The record is from RNAcentral.
UACGUAGGUGGCAAGCGUUGUCCGGAUUUAUUGGGCGUAAAGGGAGCGCAGGCGGUGACUUAAGUCUGAUGUGAAAGCCCACGGCUCAACCGUGGAAGGUCAUUGGAAACUGGGUCACUUGAAUAUAGAAGAGGAAAGUGGAAUUCCAUGUGUAGCGGUGAAAUGCGUAGAUAUAUGGAGGAACACCAGUGGCGAAGGCGACUUUCUGGUCUAUUAUUGACGCUGAGGCUCGAAAGCACGGGUAGCAAACAGGAUUAGAUACCCGGGUA